GAUGAACGCUGGCGGCGUGCCUAAUACAUGCAAGUCGAGCGAACGGACGAGAAGCUUGCUUCUCUGUUGUUAGCGGCGGACGGGUGAGUAACACGUGGAUAACCUACCUAUAAGACUGGGAUAACUUCGGGAAACCGGAGCUAAUACCGGAUAAUAUUUUGAACCGCAUGGUUCAAAAGUGAAAGACGGUCUUGCUGUCACUUAUAGAUGGAUCCGCGCUGCAUUAGCUAGUUGGUAAGGUAACGGCUUACCAAGGCAACGAUGCAUAGCCGACCUGAGAGGGUGAUCGGCCACACUGGAAGUGAGACACGGUCCAGACUCCUACGGGAGGCAGCAGUAGGGAAUCUUACGCAAUGGGCGAAAGCCUGACGGAGCAACGCCGCGUGAGUGAUGAAGGUCUUCGGAUCGUAAAACUCUGUUACUAGGGAAGAACAUAUGUGUAAGUAACUGUGCACAUCUUGACGGUACCUAAUAAGAAAGCCACGGCUAACUACGUG
This 497-nucleotide ribosomal RNA is filed under the name uncultured bacterium. RNAcentral describes it as "partial 16S ribosomal RNA". It matches the Rfam family "Bacterial small subunit ribosomal RNA", at positions 28 to 507 of the family's 1533-position model. The record is from RNAcentral.